This 434-nucleotide ribosomal RNA is filed under the name uncultured bacterium. RNAcentral's name for it is "partial 16S ribosomal RNA". It matches the Rfam family "Bacterial small subunit ribosomal RNA", at positions 341 to 792 of the family's 1533-position model. The record is from RNAcentral.
ACGGGAGGCAGCAGUGGGGGAUAUUGCACAAUGGGGGAAACCCUGAUGCAGCGACGCCGCGUGAGUGAUGAAGUAUUUCGGUAUGUAAAGCUCUAUCAGCAGGGAAGAUAAUGACGGUACCUGACUAAGGAGCACCGGCUAAAUACGUGCCAGCAGCCGCGGUAAUACGUAUGGUGCACGCGUUAUCCGGAUUUACUGGGUGUAAAGGGAGCGUAGACGGCGAGGCAAGCCAGAUGUGAAAGGCUGGGGCUCAACCCCGGGACUGCAUUUGGAACUGUCUGGCUAGAGUAUCGGAGAGGUAAGUGGAAUUCCUAGUGUAGCGGUGAAAUGCGUAGAUAUUAGGAGGAACACCAGUGGCGAAGGCGGCUUACUGGACGAUAACUGACGUUGAGGCUCGAAAGCGUGGGGAGCAAACAGGAUUAGAUACCCUGGUA